Molecule: ribosomal RNA, 497 nt
Filed under: uncultured bacterium
Lineage: Bacteria
Description: partial 16S ribosomal RNA
Rfam family: Bacterial small subunit ribosomal RNA
Source: RNAcentral
GAUGAACGCUGGCGGCGUGCCUAAUACAUGCAAGUCGAGCGAACAGAUGAGGAGCUUGCUCCUCUGACGUUAGCGGCGGACGGGUGAGUAACACGUGGAUAACCUACCUAUAAGCCUGGGAUAACUUCGGGAAACCGGAGCUAAUACCGGAUAAUAUAUUGAACCGCAUGGUUCAAUAGCGAAAGACGGUUUUGCUGUCACUUAUAGAUGGAUCCGCGCCGCAUUAGCUAGUUGGUAAGGUAACGGCUUACCAAGGCAACGAUGCGUAGCCGACCUGAGAGGGUGAUCGGCCACACUGGAACUGAGACACGGUCCAGACUCCUACGGGAGGCAGCAGUAGGGAAUCUUCCGCAAUGGGCGAAAGCCUGACGGAGCAACGCCGCGUGAGUGAUGAAGGUCUUCGGAUCGUAAAACUCUGUUAUUAGGGAAGAACAAAUGUGUAAGUAACUAUGCACGUCUUGACGGUACCUAAUCAGAAAGCCACGGCUAACUACGUG